UUCCCGGUUGAUCCUGCCGGAGGGUUACUGCUAUCGGUAUUCGACUAAGCCAUGCGAGUUAAAUGUUCUUCGUGAACAUAGCGAACUGCUCAGUAACACGUGGAUAACCUGCCCUUAGGUUCGGCAUAACUCCGGGAAACUGGAGAUAAUUCCGAAUAAACCAUUCCUGCUGGAAUGCUUUUUGGUUCAAAGACUUCGGUUGCCUAAGGAUGGAUCUGCGGUCUAUCAGGUAGUAGUGGGUGUAAGGUACCUACUAGCCUACGACGGAUAUGGGUUGUGAGAGCAAGAGCCCAGAGAUGGAUUCUGAGACAUGAAUCCAGGCCCUACGGGGCGCAGCAGGCGCGAAAACUUUACAAUGCGGGAAACCGCGAUAAGGGGAUACCGAGUGCCAGCAUAUUAUGUUGGCUGUCCACAUGUGUAAACGGCAUGUGUUAGCAAGGGCCGGGCAAGACCGGUGCCAGCCGCCGCGGUAACACCGGCGGCCCGAGUGGUAAUCACUUUUAUUGGGUCUAAAGGGUCCGUAGCCGGUUUGAUCAGUUCUUCGGGAAAUCUGACAGCUCAACUGUUAGGCUUCCGGGGAAUACUGUCAGACUUGGGACCGGGAGAGGUAAGAGGUACUACAGGGGUAGGAGUGAAAUCUUGUAAUCCCUGUGGGACCACCAGUGGCGAAGGCGUCUUACCAGAACGGGUCCGACGGUGAGGGACGAAAGCUGGGGGCACGAACCGGAUUAGAUACCCGGGUAGUCCCAGCCGUAAACGAUGUUCGCUAGGUGUCAGGGACGGUGCGACCGUUUCUGGUGCCGUAGGGAAGCCGUGAAGCGAACCACCUGGGAAGUACGGCCGCAAGGCUGAAACUUAAAGGAAUUGGCGGGGGAGCACUACAACGGGUGGAGCCUGCGGUUUCCUUGAUUCAACGCCGGA
RNAcentral lists this ribosomal RNA (921 nucleotides) under uncultured archaeon. RNAcentral's name for it is "bacterial SSU rRNA". It matches the Rfam family "Archaeal small subunit ribosomal RNA", at positions 1 to 922 of the family's 1478-position model. The record is from RNAcentral.